GUAAGGAAUAUUGGUCAAUGGGGGCAACCCUGAACCAGCCAUGCCGCGUGCAGGAUGACGGCCCUAUGGGUUGUAAACUGCUUUUAUACCAGAGAAAACCCGAGUACGUGUACUCGGUUGAUAGUAUGGUAAGAAUAAGCAUCGGCUAACUUCGUGCCAGCAGCCGCGGUAAGACGAAGGAUGCAAGCGUUAUCCGGAUUCAUUGGGUUUAAAGGGUGCGUAGGCGGACCUGUAAGUCAGUGGUGAAAUCUCUUUGCUUAACAAAGAAACUGCCAUUGAUACUGCAAGUCUAGAGUAUAGAUGACGUUGGCGGAAUAUGACAUGUAGUGGUGAAAUACUUAGAUAUGUCAUAGAACACCGAUUGCGAAGGCAGCUAACGAAACUAUAACUGACGCUGAGGCACGAAAGUGCGGGGAUCAAACAGGAUUAGAAACCCCGGUAGUCC
RNAcentral lists this ribosomal RNA (445 nucleotides) under uncultured bacterium. RNAcentral describes it as "bacterial SSU rRNA". It matches the Rfam family "Bacterial small subunit ribosomal RNA", at positions 354 to 796 of the family's 1533-position model. The record is from RNAcentral.